GAAUUGCUAGGUAGAGAGCUACCUCUUCAGCUUUACCAAAUGUGCCAUAUUGUCCCCAAGUGGCCUACCAAUCAUCACUCCAUGCCUUCUCCUAUUAUUUGAUAUUGUUGGACUUGUGAUAUUGAAUGUUUGCUAACCUUGUGACCGUGAAACGACAUUUGCUUGUUUUUCUUGGACACUUCUUCACACUGUGCUGCUAGACAAGCUGAGGGAAAUUGUUUUGAAGUCUGCUGUGUAACGUCUGGUGAUCCUCUUCCCUCCCGAAUCCCAUUUACUCACAUCUAGAAAUGGAAAUCAUGGAACUUACCUGACAUAGUUGUGAGGAUCCUGUCACAAUCACUAGUGACGUAUUCUUCCCUCUUCCUUCUCCCUGCCACACAUACCCAUAAAAUAAGUAUUGGAAUGAAUGCAUACUUAAAGGUUUUUUUUGUAUUUAUUUCUCAGAGAUAUCCAGUGGUAGAAAAGAUAGCACAGAAGUCGUAAGGGGUCAUAGUGUUGAAGCAAAUCCUAAAGAGGUUGAAGAGGAAGAAAGGCAUAUGCCUAAAAGAAAAAGAAAGAAGCAUUACCCCUCUUCAGAAGAUGAACUGGGUAUUUAGAAUAUAUGUGUUCCUGUUUUAGACAUCUUUGAAAAUCGUAUUAUUUUCAUAUCCAACAUGGGCCAAUAACGUAGAAAAUUCUUGGGGGUAGUAUUUGUUUCCUGUACAACUCUUGAGUCUAGUUUGUUUCUGGACUCACUUAACUCCUUCCGGGUCUUUUCUGGACUUGAUCUAGAAACUAGAUUGUUCUCUGUGGAAGACCCAACCCUGGAACUCACACAAAGCCAGGUUCCCUCUGUAGCCUGGGCCUGGCACCUAGCCAGGUGCCUCCCAGUUCCUUAUUUUAUAUCAUGAACAGAUGCCGUGCAGAGCUGGCGAAGCACGGCAGUAAAGGUGCGUGUAUUAGCCCUUCCGUGCUUCAUAGUGUGAUUCUCUCAUGGUCUAGGACAGUUGCCAUCCAAUAGAACUUGCUGCAGUGAUGGAAAUGUUUUGUCUAGUACAGUAGCAACUAGCCAU
Molecule: long non-coding RNA, 1052 nt
Filed under: Equus asinus (donkey)
Lineage: Eukaryota; Metazoa; Chordata; Mammalia; Perissodactyla; Equidae
Description: lncRNA (ENSEASG00005026953.1)
Source: RNAcentral